This 352-nucleotide ribosomal RNA is filed under the name uncultured bacterium. Its description in RNAcentral is "bacterial SSU rRNA". It matches the Rfam family "Bacterial small subunit ribosomal RNA", at positions 527 to 881 of the family's 1533-position model. The record is from RNAcentral.
GGAGGAUCCGAGCGUUAUCCGGAUUUAUUGGGUUUAAAGGGAGCGUAGAUGGAUGUUUAAGUCAGUUGUGAAAGUUUGCGGCUCAACCGUAAAAUUGCAGUUGAUACUGGAUAUCUUGAGUGCAGUUGAGGCAGGCGGAAUUCGUGGUGUAGCGGUGAAAUGCUUAGAUAUCACGAAGAACUCCGAUUGCGAAGGCAGCUCACUGGAGCGCAACUGACGCUGAAGCUCGAAAGUGCGGGUAUCGAACAGGAUUAGAUACCCUGGUAGUCCGCACGGUAAACGAUGGAUGCCCGCUGUUGGUCUGAAUAGGUCAGCGGCCAAGCGAAAGCAUUAAGCAUCCCACCUGGGGAGU